This 959-nucleotide ribosomal RNA is filed under the name Hymenoscyphus fructigenus. RNAcentral's name for it is "SSU rRNA". It matches the Rfam family "Eukaryotic small subunit ribosomal RNA", at positions 99 to 1115 of the family's 1831-position model. Lineage: Eukaryota; Fungi; Ascomycota; Leotiomycetes; Helotiales; Helotiaceae. The record is from RNAcentral.
CAUUAAAUCAGUUAUCGUUUAUUUGAUAGUACCUUACUACUUGGAUAACCGUGGUAAUUCUAGAGCUAAUACAUGCUAAAAACCCCGACUUCGGAAGGGGUGUAUUUAUUAGAUAAAAAACCAAUGCCCUUCGGGGCUCCUUGGUGAUUCAUAAUAACUUAACGAAUCGCAUGGCCUUGUGCCGGCGAUGGUUCAUUCAAAUUUCUGCCCUAUCAACUUUCGAUGGUAGGAUAGUGGCCUACCAUGGUUUCAACGGGUAACGGGGAAUUAGGGUUCUAUUCCGGAGAGGGAGNCUGAGAAACGGCUACCACAUCCAAGGAAGGCAGCAGGCGCGCAAAUUACCCAAUCCCGACACGGGGAGGUAGUGACAAUAAAUACUGAUACAGGGCCCUUUUGGGUCUUGUAAUUGGAAUGGUCAAUAAUGCCGGUACCUCCAGCUCCAAUAGCGUAUAUUAAAGUUGUUGCAGUUAAAAAGCUCGUAGUUGAACCUUGGGCCUGGCUGGCCGGUCCGCCUCACCGCGUGCACUGGUCCGGCCGGGCCUUUCCUUCUGGGGAGCCGCAUGCCCUUCACUGGGUGUGUCGGGGAACCAGGACUUUUACUUUGAAAAAAUUAGAGUGUUCAAAGCAGGCCUAUGCUCGAAUACAUUAGCAUGGAAUAAUGAAAUAGGACGUGUGGUUCUAUUUUGUUGGUUUCUAGGACCGCCGUAAUGAUUAAUAGGGAUAGUCGGGGGCAUCAGUAUUCAAUUGUCAGAGGUGAAAUUCUUGGAUUUAUUGAAGACUAACUACUGCGAAAGCAUUUGGCAAGGAUGUUUUCAUUAAUCAGUGAACGAAAGUUAGGGGAUCGAAGACGAUCAGAUACCGUCGUAGUCUUAACCAUAAACUAUGCCGACUAGGGAUCGGGCGAUGUUAUCUUUUUGACUCGCUCGGCACCUUACGAGAAAUCAAAAUCUUUGGGUUCU